UGGGGAAUAUUGGACAAUGGGCGAAAGCCUGAUCCAGCAAUGCCGCGUGAGUGAUGAAGGCCUUAGGGUUGUAAAGCUCUUUUACCAGGGAUGAUAAUGACAGUACCUGGAGAAUAAGCUCCGGCUAACUCCGUGCCAGCAGCCGCGGUAAUACGGAGGGAGCUAGCGUUGUUCGGAAUUACUGGGCGUAAAGCGUACGUAGGCGGUGACUCAAGUCAGAGGUGAAAUCCCGGAGCUCAACUUCGGAACUGCCUUUGAUACUGGCAAUCUAGAGUCCGGAAGAGGUUAGUGGAAUUCCCAGUGUAGAGGUGAAAUUCGUAGAUAUUGGGAAGAACACCAGUGGCGAAGGCGGCUAACUGGUCCGGUACUGACACUGAGGCACGAAAGUGUGGGGAUCAAACAGGAUUAGAUACCCCGGUAGUCCCUGAGCGGGCUGGCAAGGCGCAU
This 447-nucleotide ribosomal RNA is filed under the name uncultured bacterium. RNAcentral describes it as "bacterial SSU rRNA". It matches the Rfam family "Bacterial small subunit ribosomal RNA", at positions 355 to 825 of the family's 1533-position model. The record is from RNAcentral.